RNAcentral lists this unclassified non-coding RNA (252 nucleotides) under Hevea brasiliensis (rubber tree). The record is from RNAcentral. Lineage: Eukaryota; Viridiplantae; Streptophyta; Magnoliopsida; Malpighiales; Euphorbiaceae.
GUCAAAAAGAAGGUUGAAGAAGGAAAAGCCACCCAUUACAUGUGUAACUGUCUCAUGACAGUUACCAAGUUUCGUAAUUGUUUAUUUUGGCCUCCUGGAAUAAGUUUUUAUAACUUGAGGCACAUCAAAAUUAAACAAGCUCUGCGCAGUAAAAUGAAGCAGAAAGCACUCAAAGAAUGUGAUCGAUAUACUACAAAAUACGCUGAGUGUGCCUCAGGAAGAACAAUAUCUGUUGUUUGGCAGUGUCGCAAA